Lynx canadensis (Canada lynx) is the source of this 293-nucleotide long non-coding RNA. RefSeq lists it as uncharacterized. The transcript has 2 exons. The record is from RefSeq and is a predicted model, not a curated record. Lineage: Eukaryota; Metazoa; Chordata; Mammalia; Carnivora; Felidae.
GACUGGGGUCUGUGGAUGUGGCUCAUCCCCGCAGCCCAGCACCCAGCACCCAGCCCUGCGGGUCUGCCUCAUCGCCCGUGCUCAUUGCCCUUCCGUUCCCAUGCCCCGUGGAAACAUUUUUGUUCUCUAACGAAUACCCUAUCAGAUGUACAUGUCGAGAGUUACAAAUGUGUCACUAGAAGUUCAUGACUUUUGAACCAGUUUCCUCAUUUUAAGUGGAAGGAAACCGAAGUCCCCAAAGCUGAAGUGAUUGUUCGCAGCAGGCCCGUUGUAGCGAUAAAACUGGGACCAGA